GGCUCAGAUUGAACGCUGGCGGCAGGCUUAACACAUGCAAGUCGAGCGGGGAAGAGUAGCUUGCUACCUGACCUAGCGGCGGACGGGUGAGUAAUGCUUAGGAAUCUGCCUAUUAGUGGGGGACAACAUCUCGAAAGGGAUGCUAAUACCGCAUACGUCCUACGGGAGAAAGCAGGGGACCUUCGGGCCUUGCGCUAAUAGAUGAGCCUAAGUCGGAUUAGCUAGUUGGUGGGGUAAAGGCCUACCAAGGCGACGAUCUGUAGCGGGUCUGAGAGGAUGAUCCGCCACACUGGGACUGAGACACGGCCCAGACUCCUACGGGAGGCAGCAGUGGGGAAUAUUGGACAAUGGGGGGAACCCUGAUCCAGCCAUGCCGCGUGUGUGAAGAAGGCCUUUUGGUUGUAAAGCACUUUAAGCGAGGAGGAGGCUACCGAGAUUAAUACUCUUGGAUAGUGGACGUACUCGCAGAAUAGACC
RNAcentral lists this ribosomal RNA (476 nucleotides) under Acinetobacter sp. BAS123i. RNAcentral's name for it is "bacterial SSU rRNA". It matches the Rfam family "Bacterial small subunit ribosomal RNA", at positions 21 to 492 of the family's 1533-position model. The record is from RNAcentral. Lineage: Bacteria; Pseudomonadati; Pseudomonadota; Gammaproteobacteria; Moraxellales; Moraxellaceae.